CAGCAGCCACGGGAAUACGGAGGGAGCUAGCGUUAUUCGGAAUUACUGGGCGUAAAGCGCACGUAGGCGGCUUUGUAAGUUAGAGGUGAAAGCCUGGAGCUCAACUCCAGAAUUGCCUUUAAGACUGCAUCGCUUGAAUCCAGGAGAGGUGAGUGGAAUUCCGAGUGUAGAGGUGAAAUUCGUAGAUAUUCGGAAGAACACCAGUGGCGAAGGCGGCUCACUGGACUGGUAUUGACGCUGAGGUGCGAAAGCGUGGGGAGCAAACAGGAUUAGAUACCCCGGUAGUCCCUGUCUCUUAUAC
Molecule: ribosomal RNA, 301 nt
Filed under: uncultured bacterium
Lineage: Bacteria
Description: partial 16S ribosomal RNA
Rfam family: Bacterial small subunit ribosomal RNA
Source: RNAcentral